This is an RNA transcript of Grammomys surdaster, 945 nucleotides long. It is a transcript of the gene named olfactory receptor 145-like, with no coding region annotated. The transcript has a single exon. Lineage: Eukaryota; Metazoa; Chordata; Mammalia; Rodentia; Muridae. The record is from RefSeq and is a predicted model, not a curated record.
AUGACCUAAGGAAGAAUGGCUUUAGGAAAUGAAUCUUCAGUGAAGGAGUUUAUCCUGCUGGGCUUGACACAGAAGCCAGAGCUCCAACUGCCUCUCUUCUUCCUCUUCUUGGGAAUCUAUGUGGUCUCCAUGGUGGGGAACCUGGGCUUGAUUGUUCUGAUUGUGUUGAAUCCUCACCUGCACACCCCCAUGUACUACUUUCUCUUUAACCUAUCUUUCAUUGAUUUCUGCUACUCCUCUGUCAUAACUCCCAAAAUGCUGGUGGGUUUUCUGAAGCAGAAUAUCAUCUCUUACUCUGAGUGUAUGACUCAGCUCUAUUUUUUUGCUUUCUUUGUUAGUGAUGAGUGCUAUAUUUUGACAGCAAUGGCCUAUGACAGAUUUGCUGCCAUUUGUAAACCCCUGCUUUAUCAGGUCACUAUGUCCCAUCAGGUCUGCCACUUGAUGAUGAUGGGUGUUUAUGUGAUGGGGUUUGUUUGUGCCAUAUCCCAUACAGGUUGUAUGCUAAGCCUGACCUUCUGUGAUGGCAAUAUAAUCAAUCACUACAUGUGUGACAUACCCCCUCUCCUAAAACUCUCCUGCACAAGCAACUCCAUUAAUGAGGUUGUGGUUUUCAUUGUGGUGGGUGUCAAUGUGAUAAUACCCAGCCUCACACUGUUUGUUUCUUAUACCUUGAUCCUUUCUAACAUCCUCAGCAUCCAGUCUGCUGAAGGUAGAUCAAAAGCCUUCAGUACCUGUGGCUCCCAUGUAAUAUCUGUGUCUUUUUUCUUUGGAGCUGCAGCCUUCAUGUAUUUUAAGCCUCCUAGUGCAUCUGUGGAUGAAGAUAAAAUAUCUUCCAUGUUUUAUACUAUUGUGGGCCCGAUGAUGAAUCCUUUUAUCUAUAGUAUAAGAAAUAAAGAUGUCCACAUUGCACUGAGAAAAACUUUGAAGAAAAGGAGUUUUACUUAA